Molecule: ribosomal RNA, 446 nt
Filed under: uncultured bacterium
Lineage: Bacteria
Description: partial 16S ribosomal RNA
Rfam family: Bacterial small subunit ribosomal RNA
Source: RNAcentral
CCUACGGGUGACAGCAGUCGAGAAUCAUUCACAAUGGGGGAAACCCUGAUGGUGCGACGCCGCGUGGGGGAAUGAAGGUCUUCGGAUUGUAAACCCCUGUCAUGUGGGAGCAAAUUAAAAAGAUAGUACCACAAGAGGAAGAGCCGGCUAACUCUGUGCCAGCAGCCGCGGUAAUACAGAGGUCUCAAGCGUUGUUCGGAAUCACUGGGCGUAAGGCGUGCGUAGGCUGUUUCGUAAGUCGUGUGUGAAAGGCGCGGGCUCAACCCGCGGACGGCACAUGAUACUGCGAGACUAGAGUAAUGGAGGGGGAACCGGAAUUCUCGGUGUAGCAGUGAAAUGCGUAGAUAUCGAGAGGAACACUCGUGGCGAAGGCGGGUUCCUGGACAUUAACUGACGCUGAGGCACGAAGGCCAGGGGAGCGAAAGGGAUUAGAUACCCGGGUAGUC